CCUCUUUACAUUGUUGUGCUGUA
Molecule: microRNA, 23 nt
Filed under: Nematostella vectensis (starlet sea anemone)
Lineage: Eukaryota; Metazoa; Cnidaria; Anthozoa; Actiniaria; Edwardsiidae
Description: nve-miR-2030-3p
Source: miRBase by way of RNAcentral